RNAcentral lists this long non-coding RNA (1322 nucleotides) under Oryza sativa (Asian cultivated rice). RNAcentral describes it as "long non-coding RNA (OSAT_LNC001016)". Lineage: Eukaryota; Viridiplantae; Streptophyta; Magnoliopsida; Poales; Poaceae. The record is from RNAcentral.
UUAUAUUUGACAGACACAUACAGUUUUGAUGCCUCUGCAUUGCAAAUCUUAGCAUAAUUGACAGAAAUAAGAAGUUAAGAAACUUUUACAAGAAAAGGAGAAAACUACAGCCCACCAGAAAAAAGGGCUCCUAGGCGACGCAACGCAACAGGGGUGGAUGGAUUCAAGCAAAGCUCACCAUGAGGCCCUUUCCUCGUUCAUAGUUAUCCCCCUCUGGCUUCUCUUCAAUCAAUCUCUGCCAGAAAAUCCAACACAAAGGAUCACAGCAUCAACAAAGGCACAAUGCUGCUCCAGUAUAAGUUGAUAAUUGAUUCCUUUUGCAAAACCAAAAUCAAAUAGUGCUAAUAAUCACCUCCGAUAAAAUAGUGCUGGUAGAGACAGAAACAAGCUCAAAUAAAAUCUGUAAUGGACCAGGUAGAUGUCAAACAUGAUCAAUUGCAAAAGCAAACUACACCGAAUUAAAAGCCACUGACCAAGGAAAAAAAAAGGCUCUGAUCUGCAAACAUGAUACUACAUUCCAAAAUUCAGAAGAUUUCAACAAAUAGACUAGUAAAAAAAUGAGAGGGACUCCUUAACAAGAGUCUUGAGCAAUUUCAUUUUUGACCAAGUUGGAAUUGAUACAUGAUACUAUGAGAACUUCUAUAACUGGACGACGACAACAACAAUAACAACAACAAACAAUCAUGCUAAUAAUCGAAUCCUCAGAUCAGAGUGUAGUUACUCAGAGUGCAACAAGUAACUACACGAAACAGCCAGAUGAACGAUUUAAUUCUGCUAUUCUGUGGCCGAAGGCUGAAGCUUGGAAGAUGCGAGUGCCACUACGGCUCUGCAUUCUAUGCUUACCAAAGUUCUGAACAAAGAGCAAUUCAGUGUUGUUUGUUUCGGGAGGCUGUGCCCUAAGUUAAGUUGGUACCUUGUAGAUAGUUGGUAGACCAUAGUUUCAGUUUGGUGUUGAUGAAUGUGUCUGAAUUUCGCUUCCUCUGAUAUCUUGGAGAGGAGUUGUUUACACCCAAAUCAGAAGAGAAACUUGCAUUUCGUUCCAUCAGAAAGGGACCAGCUGCUGAAACCGCUUUCCCCCACGAAUCUGCUGUCCAGAGCAAAAUUGAAGUGAUAACAGAUAAAUCCCACUGUUGAUAGCUGAAAGCUACUCCAACCAAAAAAUAUUAAAGAAACUGACGAUGUGAAGCCGUGACCCAAACCCUAGAAAUGAAAUCCAGCUCCUCCCAUCCGCCCCCCCAAAACCCUAGAAAUGAAAUCGGUGCUCAUCACCAUCCACCUCCAGCGGCCUCCGCACAUCACAGGCCGAGUCGCCGAAUAGCCUC